This 2556-nucleotide long non-coding RNA is filed under the name Numida meleagris (helmeted guineafowl). RNAcentral's name for it is "lncRNA (ENSNMEG00000002261.1)". The record is from RNAcentral. Lineage: Eukaryota; Metazoa; Chordata; Aves; Galliformes; Numididae.
GGUUCUGGGGUUGGAAAUGGGGUGGGAAGAGUCUGGCCACUGGGAUCCGCCACCCAGAUAUGGGGUCUAGGAACUGGAAAUGGGAAGCCCCACAUCCCCGUUUCCCCCCUGGACCGCCCUUCUCCCCUCUCCCCUCCUCCUCACCCUCGCCAUCUUCUCCUCUCCUCGGACCAGCACGACCUCGUAGUCAUCGCCCUGGAUCAUGACGUAGGAGAAGGACGCGGCCAGCCCCGCGCUGUCCCGUCCUCCCACCGUGACGUUGAGGAAGAUCUUUGGAGCACCGCAGCUGCUCACCAACGUUUGGGCGCAGGGUCCCCCCAAGCUGUACCCCUUCCCAUCGAAGGCUCGGAACCGCCACUGCCUCAGGACGUGGCAGACGAGGGGGGGGUGGUGCACGGGGACGCAUCGGGGCGAGCCCUCCUCCGUCAGCUUGCAGGUUUCGCCCUUUGGGCAACGGAUGUGGUCGCAGGAGAGCUGGUUGGGGUCGCAUUUGGGUUGGUUGUCCACCAUCCUACAGGUCAUCCCAGCUGGACAUGGAAAAUCUUUGCAGGACAUCUUGUUGGGUUCACACUUGGGUUGGUUGUCCACCAUCCUACAGGUCGUCCCAGUUGGACAUGGAAGAUCUUUGCAGGACAACGGGUUGGGAACGCAUUGGGGCCCAUCCUUCACUAAUUGGCACGUCGUCCCGACUGGACAACGCAUAUCUUUGCAGGACGGCUUGUUGGGGACGCACUUGGGCCAGUUGUCCACCAUUUGGCACGUGGUCCCCGCCGCGCAGCGGACGGUGCCGCAGGACGGCUUGUUGGGCACGCAGGUUGGCCAGCCGCCCUCCAGUUGGCACGCGGUGCCGGCGGGGCAGCGGACGGUGCUGCAGUCGGGCGAGUCGGGCACGCAUUGGGGCCGACCUCCCAGCAUCUGGCACGUGGUCCCGUCCGAGCAACGCACCGCGGCGCAGCUGGGGCCUUGGGGGACGCAAUGGGGGACGCCCUCCGCCAUGCGGCACGCCGUGCCCGGGGGGCAAGCCUUGUCGGAGCAGGAUGUCGCCGGUGCGCUCCUCGCCAUCCGCACGCAUUUGGGCCACCCUCGCACCGCCCGGCACGCCGUCCCGCUCGGGCAUUGCAGGUCCUCGCAGGACGGGAUGCGGACGCAACGGGGCCAACCCUUGACGAUUUUGCAGCCCGUGCCCGCUUGGCAGCGGAGGUUCUUGCAGGAAGGCCGGGAGAUGCAGGUGGGGCGGCCGUGCAGCAGCGUGCAAACGGUGCCGGGGUGGCAGGUGACGUGUUGGCAGGAUGGAGGGACGCCGGUGCAGCUGGCGCCGUGGCACGGGGAGGGGACAACGGAGACCUCGGGGGGGGUUGGGGGGAGAGGAGCAGGGAGAGCUCGGGAUGCGGUGAGGAGGAGGGGUUGGCUGGGAUGGCAGCGGGGUCUGCCCUCCGCCAUGGUGCAGGCUGUGCCCUUGGGACAGACAAUGUCCGAGCAGGAAGGUUGCCUCGGGGGCACCUUCAUUUGGACGCACCGCGGGCGCCCGUCAAGCAUUUGGCACACGGCGCCCACCUGGCAGCGGAUGUCAGCGCAGGAGGGGCCGCGCUGGACGCACUGGGGCCACCCAUCCACGAUCUGGCACGCUGUCCCUUUCUGGCACUGGAUGUCACCGCAGGAGGGUUGGCGAUGGAUGCACUGGGGCUGCCCGUGUAGCAUCUUGCACGUGAUCCCUUUGGGACACUGGAUGUCCCGGCAGGAAGGUUGCCUCACGGUGGUCUUGCUUUGGAUGCACCGUGGCCAACCGUUGACUAUUUGGCACUCAGUUCCCUUCUGACACACGAUGUCAUUGCAAGAGGGACCAUUCUGGACACAGUGGGGCCACCCAUCCGUCAUCCUACACGAUGUCCCUUUGGGACAAUGGAUGUCCCUGCAAGAAGGUUGCCUUGGGGCCACCUUGGGUUGAACACACUGUGGCCAACCAUUGACCGUCUGACACAAAGAACCUUUGGAACACUGGAUGUCACUGCAGGUGGGCCUCCUGAUGGAAGUCUUUGGUUGGACACAGCGUGGCCAUCCAUCCACCAUUUGGCACUCAGUUCCCUUCUGACACUGCACAUCCUGACAGGAUGGCUGGUUCUGCACGCAGUGGGGCCACCCAUCUGUCAUUGUGCAUGAUGUCCCUUUAGGACAUUGGAUGUCCCUGCAGGAAGGUUGCCUUGGGGCCACCUUGGGUUGGACACACUGUGGCCAACCAUUGACCAUCUGACACGUGGUCCCUUUGGAACACUGGAUGUCACUACAAGUAGGUCUCCUGAUGGAAGUCUUUGUCUGGACACAGCGUGGCCAACCAUUCACCACUUGGCACACGGUUCCCUUCUGACAUUGGAUAUCCUGGCAAGAGGCCUGGUUCUGCACGCAGUGGGGCCACCCAUCCGUCAUCCUACACGAUGUCCCUUUAGGACAUUGCAUGUCCACACAAGAAGGUUGCCUUGGGGCCACCUUGGGUUGAACACACUGUGGCCAACCAUUGACCGUCUGACACACCAUCCCCUUGGAACACUGGAUGUCACUACA